UUUUACUGUUCAUGCGGGAGCAUAUGAGCUCGGGAUCAAAAGAGCACUUUCGCUCCAUGAUUUCAUAUAACUCUAGGAUCAUUGCCUAAUAUUUGAUUGUGACUCAUCAUAAAUACUAGCAUUACCAUGCAAAUACAUAUGAAAUAAAUGUCAUUGGUCCAUAUAAAAGACCGAACAAAAUUUAUCCUGAAUCGGCAAGAUUUGGCAACAAUAUUGGUAGUGGAAAUACAUUAAUGAGAGAUCAUUAUCUAAGAUGUUAUUGUGGCUCUCUAUAUAUAGGAAGUGGUCAUAUAGGAACAUAAGAAAGAAGGAGAAGCAGGAAAAAAACUAAUCUCUUUGUCCUCAUGGCACUCGCUAAGAACAGUGCAGGAUGGCCGACGGUCAUGCGUUCCAUAGCUAUUGCUUUCAUGGUGCUUUCCAUGAUGUGUUCUACCUUCCCAUCCUGCCAUGCAGGCACUGAAUCUGUUCAUAAUGUGGUUUGUGAGACUCUCGAUCCCUGUAAUAGCCCGAGGUGUGAAGACAUGUGUCAUCGUAUAAUGCAACAUCGAUCCAGACACUAUUGCAAGACCCAUAAUGUUCAAAUUCCAAACUGUUGUUGUAUAGAACAAUAAUAUAAUUGUUGGUUCUCCUGCUUGAGCCAUGCAAUGUUGAAUAAAUUGAUAUCAAUAAAGAUGUUUUUCAAGUAA
Molecule: long non-coding RNA, 686 nt
Organism: Aegilops tauschii subsp. strangulata
Lineage: Eukaryota; Viridiplantae; Streptophyta; Magnoliopsida; Poales; Poaceae
Source: RefSeq, a predicted model, not a curated record